RNAcentral lists this ribosomal RNA (21 nucleotides) under Clavulina sp. TH8265. RNAcentral describes it as "partial large subunit ribosomal RNA". RNAcentral also lists the same sequence under 1 other name. Lineage: Eukaryota; Fungi; Basidiomycota; Agaricomycetes; Cantharellales; Hydnaceae. The record is from RNAcentral.
UUGACCUCGAAUCAGGUGGGA